Molecule: long non-coding RNA, 5327 nt
Filed under: Gallus gallus (chicken)
Lineage: Eukaryota; Metazoa; Chordata; Aves; Galliformes; Phasianidae
Description: lncRNA (ENSGALG00010025714.1)
Source: RNAcentral
GGAAAGUGUGACUGCAUUUGUGCUACACUCAUUCUUUACCAUCCAAUUUGGCUACUGGUCAGGACAAGAUACAAGACAUGAAUAUUAACAUGGACAUCCUUCUCUCCAAAUUGGAAAGAUCGAUUUGAUGGGUGGAUUGUUCCAUGGAUGAGGAACUGGUUGUAAGAUCAUACCCAGAGAGUGGUGGUCAGUGGCUCAAUGUCCAGAUGGAGGUUGGUAAUGAGAGGUGUCCCUCAGAGGUCUGUACUCGGACUGAUACUCUGUAAUAUCUUCAUCAACAACGUUGACAGUGGAAUCAAGUACACUCUCAGAAAGUUUGAGGAUGAUACUAAGAAGUGUGGUGUGGUCAAAACACCUGAGGGAAAAGAUGCCAUGCAGAGAGGCUCGAGCAGUGGGCCUAGGAGAAUCUCAAGAGUUCUCAAGGUUCAACAAAGCCAAGCGCAAGGUCUUGCAUCUGGAUUGCAGAAACCCUCACUAUCAAUACAGGCUGCAAGGUAAAAGGAUAGAGCACAGCUAUGAUGAAAAGGACUUGGGCUUGAAUGGUGAAUGCUAAGUUCAACAUGAGCCAGCCCUUGCAACCCAGAAAGCCAAUCUUACUGUGCAUCAAAAAGAAUAAUGGUCAGCAGUUCAAGGGAGAUGAUCCUGCCUCUCUACUUUGCGCUGAUGAGAUCUCAUCUGGAGUACUGUAUCCAGAUGUGGAGUUUUCAGUACAGGAAAGACAUAGACUUGUUGGAGUGCAUCCAGAGAAGGGCCACAAAGAUAAUCAGAGGACUGGAACACCUCUCCUAUGAGGACAGACUGAGACAACUGGGGCUGUUCACCGUGGAGAAGAGAAGUCUCCAUCAGGACCUGUUUGUGGUCUUUCAGUUUCUAAAGGAGGGCUGUAAGAAAGAAGGGGACAGACUCUUUAGCAGGACCUGUUGUGAUAGGAUGGGGGGAAAUGGUUUCAAACUAAAAGAGGGGAGAUUUAGAUUGGAUAUAAGGAUUUUUAUUUAUUUAUUUGUUUAUUUAUUACAAUAAGGGUAAUUAAACACUGGAAGAAGUUUCCUAGAGAUGUGGUUGAUGCCCUAUCCUUGGAGACAUUCAAGAUCAGACUGGAGGGGGCUCUGAGCAACUUGAUCUAGCUGUGGAUGUCCCUGUUCAUUGCAGGGGAGUUGGACUAGACAACCUUUAAGAGCUUUCUAACUCAAAUGACUCCAUGAUUCCAUGAGAUUUAUGUUGAACAAACUUUCUCCCAAGACCUUGGGAGCUUAAAGCAAGUACAUGAUUCCAUCACUUUGUUCUGUGGUAAUAGGAGGUUCCUCAUGGCAAAGUGGAAGAGUAAUGAAAGAUUCACUAUUUCUUGUCAGUCUCACUGCAGACAUUAAUAAUUAGCUAUCUCUAAGCUACUCUGAGAUUCAGCCAAUAUUACACUAAGCUCUGUAGUUAUUGAGGUGAAUCUGCUUUGGGGAAAAGAAGCUCUUUAAAUAACUGUCUUCCAAUAUAAUGUCUUCUUCAAUAAAAUAAAUUUGGUCUCCAAAUAUCAUGGUCAUCUGCAACUUCAGUUUUCUUCUGAGUACCAAAUAUUUCUGAUUAAAAAUAAAUAAAUAAAGCAUCCUUUCUAUUUACAUUUGGGAAAAAGAAGAAUAAGGCUAGCCUUGCAGUUCCUUUAUUAAACAUCAUGAUUACUCCGUAAGUAGUAGUCCUUGUAAUUCCAAAUUUCUUAUAUUUAGCUAUCCAUUUCAUUUGAGAAAGCUAUAGUUCAUUAAAAUCAGGACAAAACUAAAAAUUUAUAAAACUAAGUCUUUAUACCUUAGGCUUGAUAUUGAGUGACAUUUUGUGGUCUGAUAUUGGCUAAAGAUCCAAAACUUGUUUUCAGUGGAAAGUUCAACAAAUCCCUUCUGACUUUAUAAACUAUUAAUCUUCAAAGACCUUCAUUGUUCUAACACACUCUGCAUUCUCACCAGGCACAGAGCACUGUGGUCAGAACAAGCUCUGUGCCUGUGGAGAAGACUGCAAAGUUAUUGUUUGAUUCUGUUGUAAUUCUCCUUUUAGUAUGUAUAGAUUUCUGCAUGCAGCUUCCUUUUGUUUCAUAUCUGGGGUUGGAUUUUCUUUUAGUCAUUAAUUUUUUUAUUUAGUUUUCUCCAUUUUUCUUAUGCUUUUUCCUCUUUAUGAUGUUGUUGUCUGCUUCAAAGGGAGUUGGAUUUCUUUCAUAGUUUGUUUCAAAAGCUGGCUUUCUUUCAUAGUAUAUUUUUAAGUGUUUAUCAGCUUUGACUUUUAUACUUUAUAGUGGUUGAAAAAAGUUAUUUGCUGCUAAUGAAAGGUACCAGACCAUGACAGCGCUGGAGACAGAAAUCCUCCCUUUCUGCUUCCCUUAGAGUACCUCUUAUAAAUGUGCAGCACAAAGUAAUUCUAUAAGGUCUUCCAUCUUCACAACUACCUCAAAUACUUCAUAAUUCUCUCUCUGCUAAGAAAAGAAAAAUACCUUCUACUUUCAUGGAAGGAUGGUGUGAAGGUAUUCAUUAAUUACACAGUCAUUCAAAGUCCAUACAUGAUCUUCAGAGUGUUGCUGAUACCCUCUGAGGGGAGACAAUUAAGCAGACAAAAAGGAACUUCAGAGGCAAUAUCCAAAUAAUUUGUCCAAGGCAGCAAAGUGGAAGACAGUGUCAUAGCCACAAAAUGAAAUCAUAAGGAUUUGUUUUGUCUUUAGUGUUCACGUAUGGGUAUAGCAAGUAGAAAUAAAGAACUUAAUUCUUCUACCAUAAGGUAUGUUUUACCAGUUCUCAAUGAUACUGGAGUUGGUAUGCCAGAUAAAAUGAGAAAACUGUCUCUUGUAUGGUGUUAAUAUCAUCAUAUAUGAAGAACAGCCAGAGCAAUCAUGAGGAAACACAGAACAUCACUAUUCUGCCUUACCAUCAUAUUUCUUUCACAGAAUUUAGGUUGCUUCCUCCUUUCUGAAUCUGAAGUAGUCAUUCUCCUCUCCUCUCCUCUCCUCUCCUCUCCUCUCCUCUCCUCUCCUCUCCUCUCCUCUCCUCUCCUCUCCUCUCCUCUCCUCUCCUCUCCUCUCCUCUCCUCUCCUCUCCUCUCCUCUCUCCUUUCUAAAUCUCAGUCUCUAAAUCUCUUAAUUUUUAUUUUGAUUUGGCAGUACACUUCAGUAGGAGAAAUAGCUAGACUUUAUCUUUGGGGAUACUCAAGUUUGCUGCUUCCAUCACAGAAAAGACAUACAACUUCAGUGAUUCACACAGUAGGCACAGAAGACAGGACUAAAUGCCCUUUGCAUAGUAAAUAGCUGUUCCCAUUACUCCUUGCGUAGUGUGGAAGAAAGCCCUUAUUUUCUUUGCUUCAAUAAAUCUUUAAAGCAUUAAUUAUAGAGUUCUGAGAAUUAAGCUCAGAAAACUCAAGGAUGAAACAGAACAGAAAGACAUGAACUCUGGAACAUAGCAUGUUUGUAUUUGUAUUAUUAUAUCAGCUAACAUCCAUUGCAUCAGCUUUGUAUGUCAUCUCUCAGUAGAAAGACUUCUCCCUUCAGGUGGUUGAGACCACCCAGGUCAAUGGGAAAUUACCUUGGGAUAUACGGUCAUCUCAGGCAUGCACAUAGAACAGGAGCUUCACUACUGUUCCUGAAAAUUAAAUUCAUACUCAUAAAAGGGUCUCGAGACAGCAGAUCUGGAUACCCAAGCAUUUCCAGGAGUUUCUUAGGACUCUGUUGUAUAUGCCACCAGUGAGAGUAAAGAGCAGCUGUUAAUUAUUUUUCCCCUCUGUGUAAGCAAUAAAAACUCUUAGUUUACCUUGAAGCCUCCCUAACUGACUCGCUAACAUUGCCAGUGAAUCCCAUACAAUCCUGCAUUCUGCCUACUUGAAAGUCAGCAGUGGAUUCAAGCAUCACAAGAUAUUCCAAGUCUGUGUGGUCACCCCAUUCAUUACUCAUGAAAGAGACAGUAAGAAACCCAAAUCUCAGAGGACCAUCUCAUCUUUACUUUGCUCUGUUUGUUUGUUUCUUCUGCCACAACACAAGCAGUAGACCAGGCAGUCUCAGAGGAUGCCACAGUCCUUGAGACUAGGUUUUCUAGAAAGGACAUUCAACUUCUGGGUUGCCUUGAGCCUUGUUUUUUGAAUUAGCUAAGCCCAGAUUUUUCUCCCCUCCACUAAACCUUCUUUCUUGACAUGGAAUCUAAUAGAAGAAAAGUAAAAAUAUCUAAGUUUAUUUAUUUAAUACAUAAAAAUAAUAACACUGUACAUAAAUAAGAAAGGAAAGGCAGUUCCUAUAAAUUUCUGAAAGCUUCUGAAAAUAGUCUCGGGAUGCAGCCAAAAUUAAUACACUUAUGUAGCCAAAGUUUCCCUGAAAGCAUCUGUACCUGAAUGUCUGUACAAGUAAAAUUGUGCAAAUAACUACAACCAUUUUUCUGGCCAAAACUCUCCUGCAUCUCAACAAAUGAAGUUCCCUUUUUUCUUACUGGAAAGAUAGCAGCAACUUUUUCCCCCAAAACCUAUUCCGAACUGUUCUGAUUAGAAAAAUAUAGGUUGUUUUAUUGAAGUUUUUAUUACCGUUGUUUUCUAUUCAGAGCAGUAGCCAGCUGCCACCACUUGACUAUUCAAGGCACAGACUUACAAGCACUGAUGGCUUUAGCACACUGUGGUCAUCUGGUAGAGUCUGCAGCCAAGUACAGGGAGUGGUGGGAUAGAUCAUUAAAUCCAAUGACUCAAACUACACAUUUCAGGGUCCAAAAAAUCAGUGCAAACUUCCCUUCUUCUGUAGUAUAAUGGAUUGCUAAUUGAGAUAAUGUGAGACAGCAACAUACUGGGAGGGAUCAUACAUGGGAGAAGUAACAUCACAAAUUGUAGCUUAUUUCAAGUGGGUUUUUCUGUCAGUGUCCAAAGACAGAUGAGAUACAGUGUUAAUUGACUAAAGCCACAAAGAGAGGCUGUGGCACCUAGAAUAUUAAGAAGGUGUGAGUCAGUACAGCACUGCAUAUGCUUCUCUAGCAAGUGCUCUGUACUGAAAGAAGCCCUGGCAGAAAAGUACCCUGGACAUCGCCUCCAUUUAUGAACUACCAAAUGACUUGAGAUCAGAUACAGCUUGUGGCAAACAGCUCUCUCAUGUGUUGUUCUCUGCUUGGAGAGGUGCUGUGUAUUCCUGCUUCCAGUCUUCCAGUAAUCUGUUUAUGAGCAUCCUGGCAGCUCUGCAAAGCUUAGCUUGUGACUCCAGGAAAAAGACAGAUUCAGAGAAAGAAGGGUUCAGAAGAAGGAAGGAGAAAUUGUAGUUUGUAAAGGUUUGUUUGCAGUUCAUUUGCAGUUCAUUUCUAUGGAGAAAUAGAGGUCAGUCAUGAAUUGCUGUGAGUUCUUGUUGG